UACGUAGGUGGCAAGCGUUGUCAGGAUUUAUUGGGUUUAAAGGGUGCGUAGGCGGUCUAUUAAGUCAGUGGUGAAAUACUCCAGCUUAACUGGAGGGGUGCCAUUGAUACUGAUGGACUUGAGUCAAGUCGAGGUAGGCGGAAUUGACGGUGUAGCGGUGAAAUGCUUAGAUAUCGUCAAGAACACCAAUAGUGAAGACAGCUUACUGGGCUUAAACUGACGCUGAGGCACGAAAGUGUGGGGAUCAAACAGG
RNAcentral lists this ribosomal RNA (253 nucleotides) under uncultured bacterium. Its description in RNAcentral is "partial 16S ribosomal RNA". It matches the Rfam family "Bacterial small subunit ribosomal RNA", at positions 524 to 776 of the family's 1533-position model. The record is from RNAcentral.